GCCCGCUUGGCUAAGUGGUAUAGCGUGUCACUAGUACCGGACUUCCUCCUCAGUGUCAUGACAAGAUCAGCGGUUCGAUUCCGCUAGUGGGCA
Xylaria sp. CBS 124048 is the source of this 93-nucleotide non-coding RNA. The record is from the annotation of a GenBank genome assembly. Lineage: Eukaryota; Fungi; Ascomycota; Sordariomycetes; Xylariales; Xylariaceae.